CUCCAUUCCACGGUGACUACGACUUUUGAAGCAGAAGCGAUAGCAUGUUAUGAAGCGGUUCUCAUGGGGAAGGAGAUGGGCUUCUCAGACAUCCUCGUUGAAGGAGAUUCCAAAACAAUUAUCAACAAAUGCAUGAAAAAAUCCAGAGACAAAUCGCAUGUUAGUACUUAUAUCAGCAACAUUCAUAGUGAAAAGAGCAGUUUCCAGAAUAUCUCGUUUCUCUUUGUUCGAAGAUCGGCUAACCAGUUAGCCCAUAUCAUUGCCACAAUAAGUCUAAGGAAUAAGGAAGAAAUCUACCUGUUUGAUGCGGUGCCUGGGUAUGCCACACACCAGUCGGAACUGGAAAGACCAAGAGAGCCCGACUGAAAUGAAGAGUCAGAUAGCAGAGACGGAGGGUGUAGAGAGACCCUUCAUCAGAAUAGUUUUCAUUUCUCUCAGGCGUUACCCCUAUUGAAACUGAACUGGCACUUAGGAAAAAGGAAAGUGGGGGACAGCUCUUUUACAACGAACGGGGAUAUCAAGUCUUUAGGUGUUUUUGUUUGUUCUAGAG
RNAcentral lists this long non-coding RNA (550 nucleotides) under Gossypium barbadense (sea-island cotton). RNAcentral describes it as "long non-coding RNA (GBAR_LNC004535)". The record is from RNAcentral. Lineage: Eukaryota; Viridiplantae; Streptophyta; Magnoliopsida; Malvales; Malvaceae.